UGCACUUUAAAGGAGGGGUUUGGGAUAUUGGCAGUUUGGGGGGAUAUGUUGUGUAUCUUAUACGUAUAUGCUUCUAAACUGUUGUAUUCUGAGCACCUCUGCACAAACAGUGAUAAUGUGUGAGUGUGGUGAAAGUGUUGAAUGAUGAUGAAAGUAUUUUCUUUUUGGGGAUUUUCUUUCUUUUUUGGGUCACCCUGCCUCGGUGGGAGAUGGCCGACUUGUUGAAAAAAAAAAAAUACUAUAUAAUAAUACACCUACCAUCCGACUUACGACCUGAUCGACUUACGACCACUCGACUUGCGACCGUGUUUUUUAUGCCAAAUUUCUGGGAAAUAAACAACUAUUUGUGUUGUACACAGUGUUUAUCCUAAACUUUAGAGUAUAAAAUACAGUACUAACAGCAUAAAAAGUAAAGUAAAACAUGAAAUACCAAAAUAAAACAAUAAAAUAAAGUCAUUACAAAAAUGUUUUGUUGAUAUUCAGUAGUAAAGUUCGACUUACAACCAUUUCGACUUACGACCGGUUUCUUGGAACCGAACUCGGUCGUAAGUCGGAUGGUAGGUGUAAUAUAAUAUAAUAUGUGAUAGUACAAUAAUAAUUAUAAUAAUUCUAUGUACGUACUGCAUAUAAUUUAGUUUGACAACAACACCACAAUGCUUACCAUUGCACAAGUGCUUAUCGGAGCUACCCUUGCAGUGCAGAGAAUUCUCGUGAUUUCCUAACAUGUCGUGCAGUUAAUUCACCAGAUUUCUUUCUUCUAACCGUGGGGCCUAAGAAAGCAAGUGCAAAGGACAGUGCUGAGAAGAAAAAGAGGAUGACUCACGAAAUCGUAAUGACACAAUUGCAAACAAACCAUUCCAUGGGCGGGAUUUGAACCCACGGUCAAAGAGUCAAAACUCCAGACCGUUGCGUUAGCCACUGGGCCAGCUAGCUUCAAUAAGAUUCGUCCAGCUAGGUAUAUUUCUACAACAUAGGAAGGUUAGCAUAGGCACCACUGUGUCCACAAAUGCAAGUUUUUACAGAUGAAUCUCCUGUUAGCAUGGCCGUGACAAACUCUAGCUCAAGUCCCCUCAAAGCCGUCAACAUGAUUUGCAUGGAAUUAAAGGAAAAAAUUAUUGAUAAGCACAGACUAGGUACAAGGGUUAAGGACUUGGCAAGUGAGUACAAGCGUAGCCCCUUUUCUAUAUGUACAAUACUAAAGCAAGAGGAGCCUAUAAAGGCUAUAGCGCCAGUAAAGGGCAUUACAAUAAUUUCUAAGCAGCAGACCUCUGUCACUGAAAAGAUGGAAAAGCUGCUGUUGACAUGGAUGAUGGAGAAACAGCUCACAGGAGAUACAAAGUGUAGUGAGAUAAAAAUUGUGCAUAACAGUUCUUAACCCUUUGACUGUUUUGGUCAUACAUAUAUGUCUUAUAAGCCAGUGUUUCGGACGUAUAUGUACUCAGUAAUUCUAGCGGCUUCAAAUCUAGCACGAGAAAGCUGGUAGGUCCACAUGUGAGAGAAUGGGUCUGUGUGGUCAGUGUACACCACAUAAAAAAAUUCUGCAGCACGCAGUGCAUAAUGAGAAAAAAUCUGACCGUUUUUUUGGAUUAAAACGCAGAAUUUGAGGUGCAUUUUCAUAUAGUAUUUAUCGUUGUAUUCUCAUUUUCAUGGUGUCAUGUGAUAAAAUGGAAAACAUAUUACAGAAAUAGAGAUGAUUUUUAUUAAUUUCACGAUGGAAACGACCUUGAAAUUGAGUUCAAAGUAGCGGAAAUGUUUGAUUUUUACCAAUGUUCAGGAGUAAGCAAAUCACACCACACGUCCAAUACACAUCAACUGGGGAGUCUAAAAUUCCUUUACUAGUGCACUGAUAUUAUUUAUACCAUUUUUACAAUAAUGCAGUAGUCUGCAUAACAGUAAAUCUUCUAUUUUUUGUAUAAAUAAAAAAUCAAAAUAGAGAGCAAUAGGAAUAUAAGAGGGGCCUAGAGAUGUGACUAAUGAACACAGGAUAUGUUAUUUUAGUGCCAAGAAUGUCUACAUUGUUUAUUCUGGACCCUAUUUUGAAAUUUGCAUCUUUUUUAAUUUGCAUGAAAUUGGCCAAAUGGCCAAUUUCUAACCACUUUAUUGGGUAGUUCAAAUCAGUAAAUGGGCAGUUUCUUGUACUCAGUUGACAGAAAAAAAAUAGAGUUCUAAAGAAAUAGCUAUGAGUUUGGUCAACUGGAACAACGGAAUUGGCCAAAAACAAGGCUGAAAGUCAGCGAAAUUGCCAAUGCGUAUAUAUCGCCGAGACUGCUAACUUUGCGGGAGCGUAAUUCCGUGAGUUCUCGACCAAAUUUUGUACUUUUGGUGUCAUUACCAUCGGGAAAAGAUUCUCUAUCAUUUCAUAAGAAAAAAAUAUUUGUUUUUUUUUUUUCCAAAAAUUUUGCGACAUAGAAUAACAGUUUCAGAAAGGGACUUGCGACAGUCAAAUUGUUAAGAAAAGUGUGAACUCUUGACAGGAUAUGCUGCUAUUUUUUUUAUUUUGCUACAAGUUUUUUUCUUGAAUUCUAUUGUUUCUCGUGUUCUUUAUCUUAGGGCUGGCACUCGUAACUUUCUUUGGCCCCAUGGUGGCUUAUUUAGCAGUUGCACUCAAUAAACAAGCACAAAAAACAACGGAUUAUUACGAAAUGUUUUGGAUGAACACCUGGGGUAAUGCUCACUCAACGAGAAACAAAGCCAAACUGAGUCAGAGCGCGUAGGAUACUUUGUGUGGGUGCAGGCAGGCAGACGCAUUUGGUACAAUGGACCAUUGUCAACUCUAUGGAAGCCAAGCAAAUGUACGAAGACUGGGGCAAAAUUUCGAUGAAAAAUGUCGUUGAAAACUAAAUCCUUUGAAAACCAGGGCAUACGAAAACCAAGGUUCCGCUGUAAUUUAUUAUUAACUGUUUUUAUGAUUUCAUUCACCAGCUUUUAUAUCACUGAUAAAUGUUUAAACUAGAUCUACAAUAAUUUAUUUUAAUUGCCACUUCUGUCCUUUCCUCCUCCUUUAUCCCUUACUACUCCAUCCUCCUCUUUUAUCCCUUACUCCUCCAUCUUUCUCCUUUUUUCCUUACUCGUCCGUCCUCCUCUUCCUCGCCGUCUUUCCUUCUCCCUUCUGUUUCCUUCCUUUAAUCCUCAGAUGAAACGAGACUACCCAUUGAUGGAAUUUUGACACAAUUAUACUCUACGAAAAAGAUGGUGUUAUGAAGUACAAGAGGCCUGGAAGUCAACCUCAAGCCAAAGGCACAAAGAGAAAAGUAAGUUUUCAUGAUGAAUCAAGUAGCUGCUCUUCAAGAAAAAGGAGAUCUCAUGCUGCAUUUAAUGAGGAUAAUUUCCCUGAUGGUUCAUAUGCAUGGAGUGACAAAGAUAACUGCUAUCAUGACGUGGGAGGUAUACCAGAGGAUUGGUCCAGUGAGUCUGUUGGCUACAACUUUGAUGAAAGCGACACUGAUUGAUGAGCCUUUUCCAGCAUGUGAGGCUCAUCAGCAGGCACACCAGAACAGCACCACCAUUGCUUCAAACAUGGGACUGAUUCUCAAUGUUAGGAGGACCUGCAGGAGAAGCUUUACAGAAAUAUGUGGUCAUUCAAAAUUUUUAUGGUUAUCUUGAUCAUGUCUCAUUGGAUGUUAUCUUUAUUGUGCAUAGUUCUAUUUUGCAGUGUCUUACUGAAUCUUAUUCUGUAAAUAAUCAACAACAAUUGAACCAUAAGAGUAGAUUGUAAACCAUUAUUGCCAGUUUUCUAUUUUGACAUGAUCAGAUUCUUCCCUUGACAUAUAGGGAGGUGAUAUUAUGUGAUUAAAAACGAAUUAAAGGCCUAUAUACAAAAACUGUGAGAAUCAUUUUUUUUUUAACAAAUG
This is a non-coding RNA of Cherax quadricarinatus, 3851 nucleotides long. Lineage: Eukaryota; Metazoa; Arthropoda; Malacostraca; Decapoda; Parastacidae. The record is from RefSeq and is a predicted model, not a curated record.